Molecule: small nuclear RNA, 29 nt
Filed under: Arabidopsis thaliana (thale cress)
Lineage: Eukaryota; Viridiplantae; Streptophyta; Magnoliopsida; Brassicales; Brassicaceae
Description: snRNA_05163
Source: RNAcentral
UGGCGCUUAAGCGCGCGACCUAUACCCGG